RNAcentral lists this ribosomal RNA (255 nucleotides) under uncultured bacterium. RNAcentral's name for it is "partial 16S ribosomal RNA". It matches the Rfam family "Bacterial small subunit ribosomal RNA", at positions 524 to 776 of the family's 1533-position model. The record is from RNAcentral.
UACAGAGGGUGCAAGCGUUGUUCGGAAUUAUUGGGCGUAAAGCGCGUGUAGGCGGCUUUGCAAGUCGGGUGUGAAAGCCCUCAGCUCAACUGAGGAAGUGCGCCCGAAACUGCAGAGCUUGAGUACCGGAGAGGAUGGCGGAAUUCCCCAAGUAGAGGUGAAAUUCGUAGAUAUGGGGGAGGAACACCGGUGGCGAAGGCGGCCAUCUGGACGGAUACGUGACGCUGAGACGCGAAAGCGUGGGUAGCAAACAGG